AAAUUGAAGAGUUUGAUCAUGGCUCAGAUUGAACGCUGGUGGCAGGCCUAACACAUGCAAGUCGAACGGUAACAGGAAGCAGCUUGCUGCUUUGCUGACGAGUGGCGGACGGGUGAGUAAUGUCUGGGAAACUGCCUGAUGGAGGGGGAUAACUACUGGAAACGGUGGCUAAUACCGCAUAAUGUCGCAAGACCAAAGAGGGGGACCUUCGGGCCUCUUGCCAUCAGAUGUGCCCAGAUGGGAUUAGCU
RNAcentral lists this ribosomal RNA (249 nucleotides) under Salmonella enterica. Its description in RNAcentral is "partial 16S ribosomal RNA". It matches the Rfam family "Bacterial small subunit ribosomal RNA", at positions 1 to 246 of the family's 1533-position model. The record is from RNAcentral. Lineage: Bacteria; Pseudomonadati; Pseudomonadota; Gammaproteobacteria; Enterobacterales; Enterobacteriaceae.